Molecule: transfer RNA, 72 nt
Filed under: Pelodiscus sinensis (Chinese soft-shelled turtle)
Lineage: Eukaryota; Metazoa; Chordata; Testudines; Trionychidae
Rfam family: tRNA
About the family: Transfer RNA (tRNA) molecules are approximately 80 nucleotides in length.
Source: Rfam by way of RNAcentral
GGCAGAGUGGCCUAGUGGGUAGAGUGCUAGCCUGCGAUUUGGGAGACCUGGGUUCUAGUCCUGGCUUUGUCG